Molecule: microRNA precursor, 61 nt
Filed under: Strongylocentrotus purpuratus (purple sea urchin)
Lineage: Eukaryota; Metazoa; Echinodermata; Echinoidea; Camarodonta; Strongylocentrotidae
Description: microRNA spu-mir-92e precursor
Gene: spu-mir-92e
Source: miRBase by way of RNAcentral
GGUCGUGGUGAGUGCAAUGUUCUGUUGUCUCGAAUGAAAAUAUUGCACUUACCCCGGCUUA